AAACCAUAGGUGAACUAUGCCACCUUCAUCGAAGAAAUUCCUCGUGUAACAUUACACGUGGUGUAGACAUUACAGCACCCAAUAAAUGUUAUAAGUUAUUCUUCAUAUCUUUCUGACAAAAGAAGCUUUAAUAUGACCUUCCAUGUGGUGCAGACAAUACAGCACCCAAAAAACAUGCCCCACAUAUUACAUUGGAAGUUAGAGGGCGAUUAUACAAGGAUAUGGUUCGAC
Aricia agestis (brown argus) is the source of this 231-nucleotide long non-coding RNA. RefSeq lists it as uncharacterized. NCBI's taxonomy places the organism in Eukaryota, Metazoa, Arthropoda, Insecta, Lepidoptera, Lycaenidae. The transcript is spliced from 3 exons. The record is from RefSeq and is a predicted model, not a curated record.